Non-coding RNA from Bacidia gigantensis, 98 nucleotides. The record is from the annotation of a RefSeq genome assembly. Lineage: Eukaryota; Fungi; Ascomycota; Lecanoromycetes; Lecanorales; Ramalinaceae.
GACACUGUGGCCGAGUGGUUAAGGCGACAGACUCGAAUUUGUUCAUGAUCCGAUAUCUGUUUCAUUCGUGAGCGCAGGUUCAAAUCCUGCCGGUGUCG